RNAcentral lists this ribosomal RNA (460 nucleotides) under uncultured bacterium. RNAcentral's name for it is "partial 16S ribosomal RNA". It matches the Rfam family "Bacterial small subunit ribosomal RNA", at positions 338 to 795 of the family's 1533-position model. The record is from RNAcentral.
CCUACGGGAGGCAGCAGUGAGGAAUAUUGGUCAAUGGACGCGAGUCUGAACCAGCCAAGCAGCGUGAAGGAUGACUGCCCUAUGAGUUGUAAACUGCUUUUAUAUGAGAAUAAACUGAGACACGCGUAUCUGUCUGUAAGUACCUUAUGAAUAAGGAUCGGCUAACUCCGUGCCAGCAGCCGCGGUAAUACGGAGGAUCCGAGCGUUAUCCGGAUUUAUUGGGUUUAAAGGGAGCGUAGGUGGUUGGUUAAGUCAGUUGUGAAAGUUUGCGGCUCAACCGUAAAAUUGCAUUUGAUACUGGCCGUCUUGAGUAUAGUAGAGGUAGGCGGAAUUCGUGGUGUAGCGGUGAAAUGCUUAGAGAUCACAAAGAACACCGAUUGCGAAGGCAGCUUACUAAACUACUACUGACAUUGAGGCACGAAAGUGUGGGGAGCAAACAGGAUUAGAUACCCCAGUAGUC